CCUACGGGCGGCUGCAGUGGGGAAUAUUGGACAAUGGGGGGAACCCUGAUCCAGCCAUGCCGCGUGUGUGAAGAAGGCCCUCGGGUUGUAAAGCACUUUCAGUGAGGAAGAACGCCUGGUGGUUAAUACCCAUCAGGAAAGACAUCACUCACAGAAGAAGCACCGUCUAACUCCGUGCCAGCAGCCGCGGUAAUACGGAGGGUGCGAGCGUUAAUCGGAAUUACUGGGCGUAAAGCGCGCGUAGGUGGCUUGAUAAGCCGGUUGUGAAAGCCCCGGGCUCAACCUGGGAACGGCAUCCGGAACUGUCAAGCUAGAGUGCAGGAGAGGAAGGUAGAAUUCCCGGUGUAGCGGUGAAAUGCGUAGAGAUCGGGAGGAAUACCAGUGGCGAAGGCGGCCUUCUGGACUGACACUGACACUGAGGUGCGAAAGCGUGGGUAGCAAACAGGAUUAGAUACCCGGGUAGUC
RNAcentral lists this ribosomal RNA (465 nucleotides) under Vreelandella stevensii. RNAcentral describes it as "partial 16S ribosomal RNA". It matches the Rfam family "Bacterial small subunit ribosomal RNA", at positions 338 to 795 of the family's 1533-position model. Lineage: Bacteria; Pseudomonadati; Pseudomonadota; Gammaproteobacteria; Oceanospirillales; Halomonadaceae. The record is from RNAcentral.